GACGAACGCUGGCGGCGUGCCUAAUACAUGCAAGUCGAGCGGAGUUGAAGAGGUGCUUGCACCUCUGAUGCUUAGCGGCGGACGGGUGAGUAACACGUGGGUAACCUGCCUUUAAGACUGGGAUAACAUUCGGAAACGAAUGCUAAUACCGGAUACACGAUACGGUCGCAUGACUGAAUCGGGAAAGAUGGAGCAAUCUAUCACUUAGAGAUGGACCCGCGGCGCAUUAGCUAGUUGGUG
Molecule: ribosomal RNA, 240 nt
Filed under: Paenibacillus castaneae
Lineage: Bacteria; Bacillati; Bacillota; Bacilli; Caryophanales; Paenibacillaceae
Also listed under: 2 other names
Description: partial 16S ribosomal RNA
Rfam family: Bacterial small subunit ribosomal RNA
Source: RNAcentral